GCUUGCACUGGUGCUGCUGAUGGGAUGAUUUGUGAAAUUGAUUCCAUGACGGGAAACUCUUUAAAAAGGUUUAGAACUUCAACAAAGACUACAUCUGCCAUUGCCGUUUUAUCUGAUGGAAGUGUACUAGCUUCUGCAUCUGCACAAAUAAGGAUAUAUAGUUGCUCAGAUCACAAAAAGGGAGCUGUUCACUCUAUGAUCUUUAGUAAUGAUGGGAAGUAUGUUCUUUCCUGAGCUGCUGGUGGAAGAUACAUUGCUGUUUGGUAAGUUGAUGGUACCAAAACGCACUCAGCAAGCUGUACGCUGUCCAUGGAGCAUCCCGUAGUCUAUCUUGACAGCAGAUGCAUUGAUAGCGGAGGAGAAGAUCUCAAGGGCCUCUAUGUUUUGGCUCUUACAGAGACAGGCAUUUGUUAUUUCUGGUGUGGACAGAACAUUGAGGAGCUACGCGAUUCAAUUCUUGCAAAAGUCUCUUUUGUCUAUUGAGGACUCUUUAUUGAAGAAUCAUCAUAGUGCACCUACAAUACUUGCUGCAAAAUUACUAGGCAUUCCAAGUCGUGCAUCUGGGAACAUUUUUAUUUCCCAUUGUUUGCUGGUAAAGCCACUCUUUCAGAAAUUUUUAGUGCAUUUUGGGGAAAACAUGAAUUUAAACAGCUCUUGAGAUGGGAUUCUUUUGCCCACUGGUCAAUCCCUGGUUAGGGCUUGGAGAGGACAGGAUGUAAGGAAUAAAGGCAAGUCAUGGACCUUGUUCAGAAAUAGUAUUUUCUUUUUCUAUUCCAAUCAUCAUGGUCCUGGUGCAUAAAAUAAAAACAUCUGUAUGAGAAGAUAAUAUAAAUCAAAGUGGCAACACCAAAAGUUAUUACAUUCCCUUUCA
Long non-coding RNA from Eucalyptus grandis, 871 nucleotides. RefSeq lists it as uncharacterized. The transcript has 3 exons. NCBI's taxonomy places the organism in Eukaryota, Viridiplantae, Streptophyta, Magnoliopsida, Myrtales, Myrtaceae. The record is from RefSeq and is a predicted model, not a curated record.